This 279-nucleotide ribosomal RNA is filed under the name uncultured bacterium. Its description in RNAcentral is "partial 16S ribosomal RNA". It matches the Rfam family "Bacterial small subunit ribosomal RNA", at positions 506 to 784 of the family's 1533-position model. The record is from RNAcentral.
UGCCAGCAGCCGCGGUAAUACUGAAGGUGCAAGCGUUAAUCGGAAUUACUGGGCGUAAAGCGCGCGUAGGCGGCUUGGUCAGUUGGAUGUGAAAGCCCCGGGCUCAACCUGGGAACUGCAUUCAAUACUGCCAAGCUAGAGUAUGGGAGAGGGCUGUGGAAUUUCUAGUGUAGCGGUGAAAUGCGUAGAUAUUAGAAGGAACAUCAGUGGCGAAGGCGGCAGCCCGGCCCAAUACUGACGCUGAGGUGCGAAAGCGUGGGGAGCAAACAGGAUUAGAUA